RNAcentral lists this ribosomal RNA (497 nucleotides) under uncultured bacterium. RNAcentral describes it as "partial 16S ribosomal RNA". It matches the Rfam family "Bacterial small subunit ribosomal RNA", at positions 28 to 507 of the family's 1533-position model. The record is from RNAcentral.
GAUGAACGCUGGCGGCGUGCCUAAUACAUGCAAGUCGAGCGAACAGACGAGGAGCUUGCUCCUCUGACGUUAGCGGCGGACGGGUGAGUAACACGUGGAUAACCUACCUAUAAGACUGGGAUAACUUCGGGAAACCGGAGCUAAUACCGGAUAAUAUAUUGAACCGCAUGGUUCAAUAGUGAAAGACGGUUUUGCUGUCACUUAUAGAUGGAUCCGCGCCGCAUUAGCUAGUUGGUAAGGUAACGGCUUACCAAGGCAACGAUGCGUAGCCGACCUGAGAGGGUGAUCGGCCACACGGGAACUGAGGCACGGUCCAGACUCCUACGGGAGGCAGCAGUAGGGAAUCUUCCGCAAUGGGCGAAAGCCUGACGGAGCAACGCCGCGUGAGUGAUGAAGGUCUUCGGAUCGUAAAACUCUGUUAUUAGGGAAGAACAAAUGUGUAAGUAACUAUGCACGUCUUGACGGUACCUAAUCAGAAAGCCACGGCUAACUACGUG